Mastomys coucha (southern multimammate mouse) is the source of this 107-nucleotide small nuclear RNA. NCBI's taxonomy places the organism in Eukaryota, Metazoa, Chordata, Mammalia, Rodentia, Muridae. The record is from RefSeq and is a predicted model, not a curated record.
GUGCUCGCUUAAGCAGCACAUAUACUGAAAUUGGAGUGAUACAGAGAAGAUUAGCAUGGCCCCUGCAUGAGGAUGAUACACAAAUACAUGAAGUGUUACAUAUUUUU